UACGGGAGGCAGCGGUGGGGAAUAUUGCACAAUGGGCGCAAGCCUGAUGCAGCCAUGCCGCGUGUAUGAAAAAGGCCUUCGGGUUGUAAGGUACUUUUCAGUCGUGAGGAAGGUGUUAAGGUUAAUAACCUUAGCAAUUGACGUUAGCGACAGAAGAAGCACCGGCUAACUCCGUGCCAGCAGCCGCGGUAAUACGGAGGGUGCGAGCGUUAAUCGGAAUUACUGGGCGUAAAGGGCACGCAGGCGGUUAAUUAAGUUGGAUGUGAAAUCCCCGGGCUUAACCUGGGAAUGGCAUUCAAGACUGGUUAGCUAGAGUCUUGUAGAGGGGGUAGAAUUCCAUGUGUAGCGGUGAAAUGCGUAGAGAUGUGGAGGAAUACCGGUGGCGAAGGCGGCCCCUGGACAAAGACUGACGCUCAUGUGCGAAAGCGUGGGGAGCAAACAGGGAUUAGGAUACCC
Molecule: ribosomal RNA, 456 nt
Filed under: uncultured bacterium
Lineage: Bacteria
Description: bacterial SSU rRNA
Rfam family: Bacterial small subunit ribosomal RNA
Source: RNAcentral